UACGUAGGGUGCGAGCGUUAAUCGGAAUUACUGGGCGUAAAGCGUGCGUAGGCGGUUUGCCGUGUCCUGUGUGAAAGCCCCGGGCUCAACCUGGGAAUUGCAUGGGAAACUGGCAGGCUUGAGUGUGGCAGAGGAGGGUGGAAUUCCAGGUGUAGCGGUGAAAUGCGUAGAUAUCUGGAGGAACACCGGUGGCGAAGGCGGCGUUCUGGACUGCAACUGACACUGAUGAACGAAAGCCAGGGGAGCAAACGGG
RNAcentral lists this ribosomal RNA (253 nucleotides) under uncultured bacterium. RNAcentral describes it as "partial 16S ribosomal RNA". It matches the Rfam family "Bacterial small subunit ribosomal RNA", at positions 524 to 776 of the family's 1533-position model. The record is from RNAcentral.